GAUGAACGCUAGCGGCAGGCUUAACACAUGCAAGUCGAGGGGCAGCGCGAUGUAGCAAUACAUUGGCGGCGACCGGCGCACGGGUGCGUAACACGUAUGGAAUCUGCCCUGUACUGGGAGAUAACUUGGCGAAAGUCGGACUAAUAUCCCAUAAUAGGCGAGGUGGCAUCACCUUGCUUUGAAAGCUCCGGCGGUACAGGAUGACCAUGCGCACGAUUAGCUAGUUGGUGAGGUAACGGCUCACCAAGGCUACGAUCGUUAGGGGGCCUGAGAGGGUUAUCCCCCACACUGGUACUGAGACACGGACCAGACUCCUACGGGAGGCAGCAGUGAGGAAUAUUGCGCAAUGGAGGCAACUCUGACGCAGCCAUGCCGCGUGCAGGAAGAAGGCGCUACGCGUUGUAAACUGCUUUUAACCGGGAAGAAACCCCAGGACGUGUCCUGGGUUGACGGUACCGGAGGAAUAAGCACCGGCUAACUUCGUGCCAG
RNAcentral lists this ribosomal RNA (489 nucleotides) under uncultured bacterium. RNAcentral describes it as "bacterial SSU rRNA". It matches the Rfam family "Bacterial small subunit ribosomal RNA", at positions 28 to 511 of the family's 1533-position model. The record is from RNAcentral.